Non-coding RNA from Galeopterus variegatus (Sunda flying lemur), 657 nucleotides. The record is from the annotation of a RefSeq genome assembly. NCBI's taxonomy places the organism in Eukaryota, Metazoa, Chordata, Mammalia, Dermoptera, Cynocephalidae.
AUGUAUGCUAAGGAAUACAAAACAAGUGAAGAGAUAGCAGGAGCACCCAGGGACCUCAGGAGCCAAGGGCAGCCCCUGCCACUGCCACUGACACCACUGUUGCAUAAGUGGUCUACCACAGCCACUGCAGCAGCUACCACCACCAUGCAGGUGGCCUGCCAACCACUCAACUGCAUUGUCACAAGGCGAGUCAUCAGUAGAGCCCAGGGAAAGAGAGGCAGUGACGUCUUGAGCACAGCUGAUGCCCAAGGUUCAGAUCAGAACCGGAGGUUUCUCACCCUGCAGGAGGCAGCCACCAGCAUGGCAAGCCCCGGCUUACUGUGGGCACUUGCGGUCUCCACCUGCCUUGGAUCCAGCGUGGCCCAGACUGUCACUCAGUCUCAACCAGAAGUGUCUGUAUGGGAGGCAGGGACAGUGACCCUGGACUGCACCUACGACACUAGAAAUAGUGAUUAUUAUUUAUUCUGGUACAAACAGCCUCCCAGCGGGCAGAUGAUUCUCAUUAUCCGCCAAGAAGCUUAUAAGCAACAGAAUGCAACGGAGAAUCGCUUCUCUGUCAUCUUCCAGAAAGCAGCCAAAAUCUUCAGUCUCAAGAUCUCAGACUCACAGCUGGGGGACGCCGCGAUGUACUUCUGUGCUCUUGGGAGCGCACAGUGA